Molecule: ribosomal RNA, 494 nt
Filed under: uncultured bacterium
Lineage: Bacteria
Description: partial 16S ribosomal RNA
Rfam family: Bacterial small subunit ribosomal RNA
Source: RNAcentral
GACGAACGCUGGCGGCGUGCUUAACACAUGCAAGUCGAACGGUGAAGCGCCUUCCUUUUUGGUGGGUGUGGAUGAGUGGCGAACGGGUGAGUAACACGUGAGUAACCUGCCCCCUUCUUCUGGAUAACCGCAUGAAAGUGUGGCUAAUACGGGAUAUUCUGGGUCUGUCGCAUGAUGGGUCUGGGAAAGAUAUUGUUUCGGUGGGGGAUGGGCUCGCGGCCUAUCAGCUUGUUGGUGGGGUGAUGGCCUACCAAGGCGGUGACGGGUAGCCGGCCUGGGAGGGUGGCCGGUCACACUGGGACUGAGACACGGCCCAGACUCCUACGGGAGGCAGCAGUGGGGAAUAUGGCACAAUGGGCGCAAGCCUGAUGCAGCGACGCCGCGUGAGGGAUGGAGGCCUUCGGGUUGUGAACCUCUUUCGCCAGUGAAGCAGGCCUGCCUCGUUUGUGGGUGGGUUGACGGUAGCUGGAUAAGAAGCGCCGGCUAACUACGUG